RNAcentral lists this unclassified non-coding RNA (239 nucleotides) under Paraglomus occultum. RNAcentral's name for it is "partial contains 5.8S ribosomal RNA and internal transcribed spacer 2". The stretch from base 1 to 65 matches the Rfam family "5.8S ribosomal RNA", at positions 84 to 154 of the family's 154-position model. The record is from RNAcentral. Lineage: Eukaryota; Fungi; Glomeromycota; Glomeromycetes; Paraglomerales; Paraglomeraceae.
GUGAAUCAUCGAAUCUUUGAACGCAAAUUGCGCCUUUUUCGGAUGGCAUGGCUGUUUGAGUGCACCAUUUAACAAAUAAUGUGCAUGCUGUGUGUAUUUUUACGCUCACGUGCACACGUUGAUGAGCUUUUCCACAAAAAGAAAAUUAUUUGGUGGCACGUAAUGAACAGCGUGAACUUUCCUCCAGUUUUUCCGAGUGUAGUAACAUUUUUUUUCGGCGCUUGGGUUGUUGUAAAGUG